RNAcentral lists this ribosomal RNA (835 nucleotides) under Curtobacterium sp. Mb18. RNAcentral describes it as "bacterial SSU rRNA". It matches the Rfam family "Bacterial small subunit ribosomal RNA", at positions 56 to 902 of the family's 1533-position model. Lineage: Bacteria; Bacillati; Actinomycetota; Actinomycetes; Micrococcales; Microbacteriaceae. The record is from RNAcentral.
UGCAGUCGAACGAUGAUCAGGAGCUUGCUCCUGUGAUUAGUGGCGAACGGGUGAGUAACACGUGAGUAACCUGCCCCUGACUCUGGGAUAAGCGUUGGAAACGACGUCUAAUACUGGAUACGACUGCCGGCCGCAUGGUCUGGUGGUGGAAAGAUUUUUUGGUUGGGGAUGGACUCGCGGCCUAUCAGCUUGUUGGUGAGGUAAUGGCUCACCAAGGCGACGACGGGUAGCCGGCCUGAGAGGGUGACCGGCCACACUGGGACUGAGACACGGCCCAGACUCCUACGGGAGGCAGCAGUGGGGAAUAUUGCACAAUGGGCGAAAGCCUGAUGCAGCAACGCCGCGUGAGGGAUGACGGCCUUCGGGUUGUAAACCUCUUUUAGUAGGGAAGAAGCGAAAGUGACGGUACCUGCAGAAAAAGCACCGGCUAACUACGUGCCAGCAGCCGCGGUAAUACGUAGGGUGCAAGCGUUGUCCGGAAUUAUUGGGCGUAAAGAGCUCGUAGGCGGUUUGUCGCGUCUGCUGUGAAAUCCCGAGGCUCAACCUCGGGCUUGCAGUGGGUACGGGCAGACUAGAGUGCGGUAGGGGAGAUUGGAAUUCCUGGUGUAGCGGUGGAAUGCGCAGAUAUCAGGAGGAACACCGAUGGCGAAGGCAGAUCUCUGGGCCGUAACUGACGCUGAGGAGCGAAAGCGUGGGGAGCGAACAGGAUUAGAUACCCUGGUAGUCCACGCCGUAAACGUUGGGCGCUAGAUGUAGGGACCUUUCCACGGUUUCUGUGUCGUAGCUAACGCAUUAAGCGCCCCGCCUGGGGAGUACGGCCGCAAGGCUAAAACUC